UAACGACUUGCUGCUUUGCUUUGACUGUGUGUUCUUGGCCCUCUCCACAGGGAACUCUAGGAUAUCAAGGGAGCAAAAGGAAGCCAAGAAAACUUGGUCAAAUAAAAGUGCUGGAUUGUGAAGAUGAGUAUUACAAGUCAUUAUCAGUGGUAGAUACUAUCACAGAAGAAGACAACACAUUUCAACCCCUUCCUCUCUUUCAAAGCUGAACUUUUGCUCCCGAACUCAUCAGUGUGAGGCUGAUUUCCAUUGUCUGGAGUAUGAAAAAGGGUCUAUGAGGUUCUUUGGAGAAGG
RNAcentral lists this long non-coding RNA (294 nucleotides) under Naja naja (Indian cobra). Its description in RNAcentral is "lncRNA (ENSNNAG00000000245.1)". The record is from RNAcentral. Lineage: Eukaryota; Metazoa; Chordata; Lepidosauria; Squamata; Elapidae.